RNAcentral lists this ribosomal RNA (934 nucleotides) under uncultured Vibrionaceae bacterium. RNAcentral's name for it is "bacterial SSU rRNA". It matches the Rfam family "Bacterial small subunit ribosomal RNA", at positions 36 to 950 of the family's 1533-position model. The record is from RNAcentral. Lineage: Bacteria; Pseudomonadati; Pseudomonadota; Gammaproteobacteria; Vibrionales; Vibrionaceae.
CUGGCGGCAGCUAACACAUGCAAGUCGACGCGGAAACGACACUAACAAUCCUUCGGGUGCGUUAAUGGGCGUCGAGCGGCGGACGGGUGAGUAAUGCCUAGGAAAUUGCCUUGAUGUGGGGGAUAACCAUUGGAAACGAUGGCUAAUACCGCAUAAUGCCUACGGGCCAAAGAGGGGGACCUUCGGGCCUCUCGCGUCAAGAUAUGCCUAGGUGGGAUUAGCUAGUUGGUGAGGUAAUGGCUCACCAAGGCGACGAUCCCUAGCUGGUCUGAGAGGAUGAUCAGCCACACUUGAACUGAGACACGGUCCAGACUCCUACGGGAGGCAGCAGUGGGGAAUAUUGCACAAUGGGCGAAAGCCUGAUGCAGCCAUGCCGCGUGUAUGAAGAAGGCCUUCGGGUUGUAAAGUACUUUCAGUUGUGAGGAAGGGGGUAGUGUUAAUAGCGCUAUCUCUUGACGUUAGCAACAGAAGAAGCACCGGCUAACUCCGUGCCAGCAGCCGCGGUAAUACGGAGGGUGCGAGCGUUAAUCGGAAUUACUGGGCGUAAAGCGCAUGCAGGUGGUUCAUUAAGUCAGAUGUGAAAGCCCGGGGCUCAACCUCGGAACUGCAUUUGAAACUGGUGAACUAGAGUACUGUAGAGGGGGGUAGAAUUUCAGGUGUAGCGGUGAAAUGCGUAGAGAUCUGAAGGAAUACCAGUGGCGAAGGCGGCCCCCUGGACAGAUACUGACACUCAGAUGCGAGAGCGUGGGGAGCAAACAGGAUUAGAUACCCUGGUAGUCCACGCCGUAAACGAUGUCUACUUGGAGGUUGUGGCCUUGAGCCGUGGCUUUCGGAGCUAACGCGUUAAGUAGACCGCCUGGGGAGUACGGUCGCAAGAUUAAAACUCAAAUGAAUUGACGGGGGCCCGCACAAGCGGUGGAGCAUGUGGUUUAAU